Molecule: long non-coding RNA, 710 nt
Organism: Centrocercus urophasianus (Greater sage-grouse)
Lineage: Eukaryota; Metazoa; Chordata; Aves; Galliformes; Phasianidae
Exons: 3
Source: RefSeq, a predicted model, not a curated record
AAGUCCCUGUGAUUCUCUGGAUUCUGAUCCUAGCUAGGAAUGCUAUUAUCUUUUACUGAUGUUAUUGUCAUUAAUUUGAGAUAGGUGUUUUACUGGGCUGAAGAAGAACAAACCGGAUCUGGAUCAACAUUGGAUGCACAGUUACAGUUCUGUUAUCCUGACAAAUAAGGCUGAAAUUCACAUGGUCACUACAUGGAAAGAGAAGGUCUUGGUAGUUGGAGCUCGAAAGUGAAUUUACUGUGUUGUGGAACCACAGCCUAAGCACUUUCUUUUGAGUUGAAAAGGACAAUGAGAGAACACAGUAUCUCUGAAGAAAUUGGAAUAAAACAGCUCUGCGGACUACAUAAUCAGAGAGAUGGUGCAUGAGAAGAUGGUCCACUCCAGGAAAAGUGUACUGAAGCACUGUCAGAGACAGAGCCACAACUGGUUUGUUCUCUGGGAGGAGUUGAUGGAGUGUGGGGAUUGGUCUUGUUAUAUCAGUGAAAUUUAGCUAUGUAAGUGAAUUACCACCCACAAGUUUUCAGCUGAGUAGGUUUCGUUUCUGGCUUCAGGUUGUGCAAGGUGGGAGAUGUGAGAGAGGAGAAGGCGGAUGCAAUCAUCUUUGGUCUUUCAUAGAGCUGCUGUCAUUUCUACAGGACACUGCUCGGAUUGUAAAAACAGCAAUUAGAAAUGUUGAUCUGAACAGCAGCCCUGUGCAGUUUGAGAGAAAA